ACCUCAUAAGAGACAAUACUUGGAUAACUGUGAAGAUCCCUGUUUCUGUGCAACAAAGCUGGAUCUCAUAUUUCAUGUACUUUUUAAAAAGGAAAAAAAAGCAGCGAGUGAAGGUCCCUCCAAAACUACCGGAUAUCAAUGAGCGGUUUCAAUCUUGUCCACCUAUGACAUGAAUGCAGCAAUGACAUAGAGGAAAGGUCCCUCCAAAACUACCGGAUAUGCUUCUAAUGUGAGAUCAGCCAUUCAUCAAGUUGGCCCCACAUGGAAAUAGACGUCACGCACGCUGACAUGUACUUCGACCAUUGGUCACUUUCUCUUACAGUCCAUUUCUUUCACACACGUAUGGCCCACCCGGAGAGUAAGCCAACUUGUCCAGUGUUGAGCCCAACUGAUUAAUGGUGCUGAUCUCAUCACACGUGGGACGUAUUGGCAGUUGCGACAAGCUAUGAUCUUACCUUAUUUUGCAUUUGUGUAUCUGUUUCUGUUUAAAUCUUUUUUAAUCAUCCAAAGCUGUACAUAUUUAGCUUUCUUAAGGUCAGGUCAAAAUGGGAUACACUUUUUGAAUUGAGUUCUGUAGUUGCCUACUAAUCACCUCCAAGACUGACCCACUCUUGUAUGAUUUUGAUUGUAUUGAUAGGGUGUUUGAUUGUUUUAUAAAUAGAAUGUCAAUUUCAGAUGAUUA
This is a long non-coding RNA of Magnolia sinica, 682 nucleotides long. RefSeq lists it as uncharacterized. The transcript is spliced from 2 exons. NCBI's taxonomy places the organism in Eukaryota, Viridiplantae, Streptophyta, Magnoliopsida, Magnoliales, Magnoliaceae. The record is from RefSeq and is a predicted model, not a curated record.